RNAcentral lists this ribosomal RNA (432 nucleotides) under uncultured Sphingobacteriales bacterium. RNAcentral describes it as "bacterial SSU rRNA". It matches the Rfam family "Bacterial small subunit ribosomal RNA", at positions 950 to 1382 of the family's 1533-position model. The record is from RNAcentral. Lineage: Bacteria; Pseudomonadati; Bacteroidota; Sphingobacteriia; Sphingobacteriales.
UUCGAUGAUACGCGAGGAACCUUACCUGGGCUCGAACGUAAGAUGACUGUAGGUGAAAGCUUACAUCUCUUCGGAGCAUUUUACGAGGUGCUGCAUGGUUGUCGUCAGCUCGUGCCGUGAGGUGUCGGGUUAAGUCCCAUAACGAGCGCAACCCCUACCUUUAGUUGCCAUCAGGUAAUGCUGGGGACUCUAAAGGAACUGCCUACGCAAGUAGUGAGGAAGGCGGGGAUGACGUCAAAUCAGCACGGCCCUUACGUCCAGGGCUACACACGUGCUACAAUGGCCGAUACAGAGGGCAGCUACCUGGUGACAGGAUGCAAAUCUCCAAAGUCGGUCUCAGUUCGGAUCGGAGUCUGCAACCCGACUCCGUGAAGUUGGAUUCGCUAGUAAUCGCGCAUCAGCCAUGGCGCGGUGAAUACGUUCCCGGGCCUU